GACGAACGCUGGCGGCGUGCUUAACACAUGCAAGUCGAACGGAAAGGCCCCUUUGGGGGUACUCGAGUGGCGAACGGGUGAGUAACACGUGAGUAACCUGCCCUUGCCUUCGGGAUAACUUCAGGAAACUGGGGCUAAUACCGGAUAGGAAUCCUUGCUGCAUGGUGGGGGUUGGAAAGCUUCGGCGGUUUUGGAUGGACUCGCGGCUUAUCAGCUUGUUGGUGGGGUAGUGGCUUACCAAGGCUUUGACGGGUAGCCGGCCUGAGAGGGCGACCGGCCACAUUGGGACUGAGAUACGGCCCAGACUCCUACGGGAGGCAGCAGUGGGGAAUAUUGCACAAUGGGCGGAAGCCUGAUGCAGCAACGCCGCGUGCGGGAUGACGGCCUUCGGGUUGUAAACCGCUUUCAGCAGGGGCGAAGCUUGUGGUGACGGUACCUGCAGAAGAAGCACCGGCUAACUACGUG
Molecule: ribosomal RNA, 465 nt
Filed under: uncultured bacterium
Lineage: Bacteria
Description: partial 16S ribosomal RNA
Rfam family: Bacterial small subunit ribosomal RNA
Source: RNAcentral